This 883-nucleotide ribosomal RNA is filed under the name Debaryomyces hansenii. Its description in RNAcentral is "LSU rRNA". It matches the Rfam family "Eukaryotic large subunit ribosomal RNA", at positions 50 to 951 of the family's 3401-position model. Lineage: Eukaryota; Fungi; Ascomycota; Pichiomycetes; Serinales; Debaryomycetaceae. The record is from RNAcentral.
GCGGAGGAAAAGAAACCAACAGGGAUUGCCUUAGUAACGGCGAGUGAAGCGGCAAAAGCUCAAAUUUGAAAUCUGGCACCUUCGGUGUCCGAGUUGUAAUUUGAAGAAGGUAACUUUGGAGUUGGCUCUUGUCUAUGUUCCUUGGAACAGGACGUCACAGAGGGUGAGAAUCCCGUGCGAUGAGAUGCCCAAUUCUAUGUAAAGUGCUUUCGAAGAGUCGAGUUGUUUGGGAAUGCAGCUCUAAGUGGGUGGUAAAUUCCAUCUAAAGCUAAAUAUUGGCGAGAGACCGAUAGCGAACAAGUACAGUGAUGGAAAGAUGAAAAGAACUUUGAAAAGAGAGUGAAAAAGUACGUGAAAUUGUUGAAAGGGAAGGGCUUGAGAUCAGACUUGGUAUUUUGCGAUCCUUUCCUUCUUGGUUGGGUUCCUCGCAGCUUACUGGGCCAGCAUCGGUUUGGAUGGUAGGAUAAUGACUAAGGAAUGUGGCUCUACUUCGGUGGAGUGUUAUAGCCUUGGUUGAUACUGCCUGUCUAGACCGAGGACUGCGUCUUUUGACUAGGAUGUUGGCAUAAUGAUCUUAAGCCACCCGUCUUGAAACACGGACCAAGGAGUCUAACGUCUAUGCGAGUGUUUGGGUGUAAAACCCGUACGCGUAAUGAAAGUGAACGUAGGUGAGAGCUCUUAAGAGUGCAUCAUCGACCGAUCCUGAUGUCUUCGGAUGGAUUUGAGUAAGAGCAUAGCUGUUGGGACCCGAAAGAUGGUGAACUAUGCCUGAAUAGGGUGAAGCCAGAGGAAACUCUGGUGGAGGCUCGUAGCGGUUCUGACGUGCAAAUCGAUCGUCGAAUUUGGGUAUAGGGGCGAAAGACUAAUCGAACCAUCUAGUAGC